AACUUUCGGCAACGGAUCACUUGGCUCUCGCAUCGAUGAAGAACGCAGCGAAAUGCGGUAAGUAAUGUGAAUUGCAGAAUUCAGUGAAUCAUCGAAUCUUUGAACGCACCUUGCGCUCCUUGGUAUUCCGAGGAGCAUGCCUGUUUGAGUGUCAUUAAUAUAAAUAUCAGCCCUCUCUUGUUGAGUGGUUUGGAUGUGGGGGUUUGCUGGCCUCUUAAAGGGGGUUCAGCUCUCCUGAAAUGCAUUAGCAGAACAACCUGUUCAUUGGUGUGAUAACUAUCUACGCUAUUGAAUGUGAAGGGAAGUUCAGCUUUCUAACAGUCCUUGGACAAUUUACAUCAUUAAUGUGACCUCAAAUCAGGUAGGACUACCCGCUGAACUUAAGCAUAUCAAUAAGCGGAGGCU
RNAcentral lists this unclassified non-coding RNA (405 nucleotides) under uncultured Cortinarius. RNAcentral describes it as "sequence contains ITS2". The stretch from base 1 to 154 matches the Rfam family "5.8S ribosomal RNA". The record is from RNAcentral. Lineage: Eukaryota; Fungi; Basidiomycota; Agaricomycetes; Agaricales; Cortinariaceae.